Molecule: ribosomal RNA, 576 nt
Filed under: uncultured bacterium
Lineage: Bacteria
Description: partial 16S ribosomal RNA
Rfam family: Bacterial small subunit ribosomal RNA
Source: RNAcentral
UGGGGGAAUUUUGGACAAUGGGCGAAAGCCUGAUCCAGCAAUGCCGCGUGUGUGAAGAAGGCCCUCGGGUUGUAAAGCACUUUUGUCCGGAAAGAAAUCCUUGGCUCUAAUACAGUCGGGGGAUGACGGUACCGGAAGAAUAAGCACCGGCUAACUACGUGCCAGCAGCCGCGGUAAUACGUAGGGUGCAAGCGUUAAUCGGAAUUACUGGGCGUAAAGCGUGCGCAGGCGGUUUGCUAAGACCGAUGUGAAAUCCCCGGGCUCAACCUGGGAACUGCAUUGGUGACUGGCAGGCUGGAGUAUGGCAGAGGGGGGUAGAAUUCCACGUGUAGCAGUGAAAUGCGUAGAGAUGUGGAGGAAUACCGAUGGCGAAGGCAGCCCCCUGGGCCAAUACUGACGCUCAUGCACGAAAGCGUGGGGAGCAAACAGGAUUAGAUACCCUGGUAGUCCACGCCCUAAACGAUGUCAACUAGUUGUUGGGAUUCAUUUCCUUAGUAACGUAGCUAACGCGUGAAGUUGACCGCCUGGGGAGUACGGUCGCAAGAUUAAAACUCAAAGGAAUUGACGGGGUCAUAG